This 292-nucleotide ribosomal RNA is filed under the name uncultured bacterium. RNAcentral's name for it is "partial 16S ribosomal RNA". It matches the Rfam family "Bacterial small subunit ribosomal RNA", at positions 505 to 796 of the family's 1533-position model. The record is from RNAcentral.
GUGCCAGCAGCCGCGGUAAGACGAACCGUCCAAACGUUAUUCGGAAUUAUUGGGCUUAAAGGGUGCGUAGGCUGUGCAGUAAGUUGGGUGUGAAAUCCCUCGGCUCAACCGAGGAACUGCGCCGAAUACUGCUGUGCUAGAGGAAGAUAGGGGUAAGCGGAACUGAUGGUGGAGCGGUGAAAUGCGUUGAUAUCAUCAGGAACACCGGUGGCGAAGGCGGCUUACUGGAUCUUUUCUGACGCUGAUGCACGAAAGCUAGGGGAGCGAACGGGAUUAGAUACCCUCGUAGUCC